CCUACGGGGGGCAGCAGUAGGGAAUCUUUCACAAUGGGCGAAAGCCUGAUGGAGCAACGCCGCGUGCAGGAUGAAGGCCUUCGGGUUGUAAACUGCUUUUAUAAGCGAGAAAUAUGAUGGUAACUUAUGAAUAAGGAUCGGCUAACUACGUGCCAGCAGCCGCGGUCAUACGUAGGAUCCGAGCAUUAUCCGGAGUGACUGGGUGUGAAGAGUUGCGUAGGUGGCAUAAUAAGUAGCUAGUGAAAUCUGGUGGCUCAACCAUUCAGACUAUUAGCUAAACUGUUAAGCUCGAGACCGUUAGGGGUAACUGGAAUUUCUAGUGUAGGAGUGAAAUCCGUAGAUAUUAGAAGGAACACCAAUAGCGUAGGCAGGUUGCUGGGACGGUUCUGACACUAAGGCACGAAAGCGUAGGGAGCAAACGGGAUUAGAUACCCUUGUAGUC
Molecule: ribosomal RNA, 442 nt
Filed under: uncultured bacterium
Lineage: Bacteria
Description: partial 16S ribosomal RNA
Rfam family: Bacterial small subunit ribosomal RNA
Source: RNAcentral